Molecule: long non-coding RNA, 632 nt
Filed under: Gallus gallus (chicken)
Lineage: Eukaryota; Metazoa; Chordata; Aves; Galliformes; Phasianidae
Source: RNAcentral
CCCAUGGCUCCUCUCUAUUGGCACCUCUCUAUUUCACACAGAGCUGACAUUAAAGCUUUGUCAGAGCUAUUUAAAGAGCUGUCAGAAUUCAACAGCACUUACAGCGUUAUAACAACCAACUCGAAAAAAAUUUAAACAAACAAUUUUAAUAAUUUCUGUAUAACAAAUAAUUAAUCAAAUAGGCCAAAUCCCAUGUCAUCAUCAGAUUCUUCAGAUUCUUCCUUCUUCUCUUCUUUCUUCUCCUCAGCGGCAGCAGGAGCAGCACCUGCAGCAGGAGCAGCAGAGACUCCUCCAGUAGAGACUGCCACAGCUCCCCCAGCUGGCAUGCUGGCAAGCUUUCCAUUACCCUGAGCAAUGACGUCUUCGAUGUUUUUUCCAUUCAGCUCACUAAUAACCUUGUUCAGGCGUUCAUCAUCUGUCUCGAUGCCAACGCUGUCAAGGAUCUUUUUCAAGUCCUUUGACGUGGGGGACUCAUUGCCACCAAGGACUGCGAGAAGGUAUGCUGCAACGUAACGCAUCUUGGCGAGGUGGUGGCGUGAGACGGGCCCGGGACGUGCGGUCGCUGCGGCAGCCCGGCGGCGAAAAGGAAAGGGCGGGGCUCCGGCAACGCCUUCUUCCCGUCACCCCUCAAC